CUCAACUGUUUAAUUCGAUGAUCCACGAAAAACCUUACCACAAUAUGUAUAUUUAUACAGAUGUUGCACGGCUGUUUUCAGUUAAUGUUGUGAAAUAAUGGUUAAAUCCAUGAAAUUAACGGAAGCCCUUGCUCUAUUUAUAAAUUUAAUUUUUAUAGAGCCGUUUCGCCAUAAUAGCGGUUAAUGAUAAAAGGGACUAAGACAAGUCAUCAUGGCUUUUACAUUGUGGGCUAUAGACGUGCCACAUUUUCCUAAAACAAAGAGAUGCAAAAAUGCGAAUUUAAGCUAAUCUCAAAAAUAGGAUAAAAAGAAUAUGGAUUGUAGUCUGAAACUCGGCUACAUGAAUAAGUAAUUACUAGUAAUCGUGAAUCACCAUGUCACGGUGAAUCCAG
Molecule: non-coding RNA, 392 nt
Filed under: Gaeumannomyces tritici R3-111a-1
Lineage: Eukaryota; Fungi; Ascomycota; Sordariomycetes; Magnaporthales; Magnaporthaceae
Description: Gaeumannomyces graminis var. tritici R3-111a-1 Bacterial small subunit ribosomal RNA
Rfam family: Bacterial small subunit ribosomal RNA
Source: Rfam by way of RNAcentral